This is a long non-coding RNA of Canis lupus familiaris (dog), 2256 nucleotides long. RefSeq lists it as uncharacterized. The transcript is spliced from 6 exons. The record is from RefSeq and is a predicted model, not a curated record. NCBI's taxonomy places the organism in Eukaryota, Metazoa, Chordata, Mammalia, Carnivora, Canidae.
CCGGCCCGCGUGCCCGCCCUCGCGCGCGCACGUUUCCUCCGCUCCGCGGUUGCCAUGGCUGCGAUUUCCGACUCGGUUCUUCUUCGGUCCUAAACGUGCCCUGGAACGUGGGGUUUUACUAGAAGAGCACGGGCGGUGCUGUUCGAGGAGACGUUGGAAUCCUAGAGGGAGGAAGGCGGGGAAGCCCCGUACCACCUGCGUGUGUCCCAGGACGGCGAGGGUCUCUCUGUGUCGUAAAAAUAAGACUUGAAGCCCCGAGGUGGGAACAGUCCAGCCCAACCUGAUAGAAAUAUAUUUAGGGACAGCUAAAAUAAUCAGAGUGACUUUUGCAUCCGUCUCGUUGAUGAACCUGGCCUGUGAAAGUGGAUCUAAGUGGGAGUCUAAAAAAGCUUCUCCCCAUCGUUGAGGAAUAAAACCUUUAAGUUUUUCCUUCUCCAGAUGCAAUCAACAAAUGCAAAUGGGAGACUUUCCCACACGCGAGGGCCUGCACAAGGCACAGCAUUCUAGACAUCUGACGCAUCAAAACUUUGAUUUUUUUAUUUUCAAGAUAACUUCAAAACCCCUUAAGUGCUUAAUUAAACAGAAUAGAACGUUCCAAGGCGUUAUCUGUGCAAACUAGGCAUGGAAACAAAGAGGAGAGUUGGAUUCCCUUGGUGAGGCCCAAUUACAGAACGAAAUUAAGGAAACCCAGUUCAUUAUUAAAAAAAUGCAUUUAUCUUGAAACGGGAAUAUUCAGGGAGGGAAAAAAAAUGUAAGGAACGGAGAAAAAGGAGUGAGAAACAUAAUGGAAGCUACUGUGGGUUCCUGGUGGUGGAGAGUUCUAAUCACCAGAGUAACCUAAACAUCAAGUCAUGAGAAGCUUUGAGUGAACUACAGUUUUUUACUGCCCAUGAGGAGGGAAUUCACCAGUUAUCUCCUUACAGUAUUCACCGUGAUUAAAGAAAUGGAAGGUGUACUACUGACUUCUGAAGCGGGAUGUCUGCAUAUUGAGUCACUAUGAGUCCAGGAGCUGACCCUUACUUGAGGCUGCUUGAUUAAUCAGAAUUCUCCUAUUCCUCUUCAAUGAAAAAUGGGAAGUACCGUCUAUCAAGUAGGCAUGGUUAUUCUAAAGCCCCCAUAGGAUCCAGAUGGGAAAAUAUACAAAGAGCAUAAACUUUGGGAUACAAAGAUCAGAAUCAGCAUGCCACAUCUGGGCUGUAUAAUCUGAAAGAAGCAAUGGAUAUGUUAUCUUGUGGGAGAGGAGUGUGUGCAAGGGAAAGGAAGCAGAAAUCUAUCCCAAUGUAAGGUGCCUCAUUUUUAGUAAGAACAUAGCUGCAACGUCAGCAUGCUGUACGAGGAAUUCGUGACACUACUUUCUAAAAGGUUACUAUUUGUGUUCUUUGCCAUUACCUAUAGAGGCCAAGGAAACGUAGUGUCCCCAUGAGUGCAAAAUAAGUGUUGUGAUUUGGAUACCAGUCAUAAGUCUCCUUCCUCUUGGCCAAAGGCUGCUCACUAAACAGUUUCACCACUUUCAUUGAUUUGGAGUCAGUAGGCCUGGCAAUUUCACCAAACAGCCGGGCACUCAGACGAGUCAUGCGCAAGGCAUAUUCUGAAAGGGAAGACAUUUUCUGAGCAGCAAGAGGCCCUACAGGAAAUGAGAAGAUAAACAGAUGCAUUGAAAGAACAGAGGCUGACCUCCAACUAAUCGCAGAAUGUCAAUCUCAAACCAUUUAACAAUCUGAACACCAACCAAAUGAGCCAAUAGUGCCAUCUGAAGGCCAGCAAUGGGAAAACUGUCGGAUCCAGGGUCUCUUCCCUGUCCCUCCAAACUGGAGAUCACCUGCAAGCCUUGCUUCCUCCUUUUCCUUUCAGCACUCCCAUUCUCAGAUUCACUUCCUUCUCAACUCUAGCUCCAUUGUGUGGGCAGGAGUGGGCUGGGCUGCCUCCUUAGGGGUAGGGUUAUAGUUUCAUCAAUGAGAAAAAAAGGGCAUUAACAGUUUAAUGUAUAAAUAGGAAAUAGUAACAAAUCAGUGCCUUGCAGAUUUGCCUUUAGAGGCUACAGUGUCUUUGCAUGCUUUACUUUUUCUCUCCCUUCAGUGAAAGUUAUCUUUUUUCAAACAUGAGAUUAAAAAAACAAAACUAAAAAUAAUGGUUUCUUAGUCAACUUUGCUUUGUUUUUGCUUAAUUGCUAUAAUGGCAUUUAAAUAGAUUUCUGUUUCAAGUGCACAGUUUUUCACAAUCAGUUAUUUGGUGGUCAGGAACUAUUGUUUUGUUGCA